Molecule: ribosomal RNA, 253 nt
Filed under: uncultured bacterium
Lineage: Bacteria
Description: partial 16S ribosomal RNA
Rfam family: Bacterial small subunit ribosomal RNA
Source: RNAcentral
AACGUAGGGGGCGAGCGUUGCCCGGAUUCACUGGGCGUAAAGCGCGUGUAGGCGGUCCGUUAAGUCGGAUGUGAAAUCUCUGGGCUCAACCCAGAAAUCGCAUCCGAUACUGGCGGACUUGAGGAUGGUAGAGGUUGGUGGAAUUCCCGGUGUACCGGUGAAAUGGACAGAUAUCGGGAGGAACACCAGUGGCGAAGGCGGCCAACUGGGCCAUUCCUGACGCUGAGACGCGAAAGCCAGGGGAGCGAACAGG